Molecule: long non-coding RNA, 1361 nt
Organism: Anopheles funestus (African malaria mosquito)
Lineage: Eukaryota; Metazoa; Arthropoda; Insecta; Diptera; Culicidae
Exons: 3
Source: RefSeq, a predicted model, not a curated record
GUUCUGCUAAUUUACCCAUUCGAGUAGUUUUCUUCGGCAAGCUUCCCAAGUAGAAAUUGACAAGCGCAAUAUAGGCCCAAGGGAGUGUAAAAGGUAAAAAUUUGCUCGAAUCGUGAGAUGGAAGAAAUUUUGCCGUAAGAAAGAGCAGGACGGCGAUAAAAGUAUAUGCUGGUAUUGGUAAACGUCACAAUCCUAUGGAUGCAUUUUCAAAACAAAAACACAUCGUAUUUCCUAACGAAUAUAGGCUGAACGCCUUUUCAAAUCUCCUUCGUGUUUUGAGUGUUUUGUGGCUAUGGCUUUUAUGAAUAGUACAAAUCGUUCAAAUGAAAGUACAGAGUCAUUCUCACGUGCUGAAGUUAAUUUGGGACAGUUUUAAAAGAAAUCAGCAGCAAAUAAGCCAGCAGGAAUUUAGAAGGACUAGCAAAUUGGAUAGUCGGAUACAGUGCUUAAAUCGGAAGUACAGGACAGCGUGCUAGAGGGUGAAUAGAUAUAAGAAAAGGAGUGUUUUUGGAAGAACGAUGCUUGGAAUCAAUCCGGAACGAAGGAAGGAGGGUAAAUAUUCUUGGGCUGAUAGUAUAUAGGCUAGAAUAGGCUAAAGACAUUGGAUUAUCUCUAAAAUUUAAUAGUUCAACUGAAAUUGAAAGAUAUGUUGCUUUUAACUUUAAUAUUAAUAAUAUUUGUUUUCUUUGCUUUGCUCUUCUUUGCCGGGACGAGUAGAAAAACAGUUGAUAACUGUUGUAGGAUGGCCGUUGAGAGCUUGCAAAAUGUUCUUCGAUAUUGUUCUCGCGUAUAUUUUAAUUAAAAGAAUGUUGAUUAGGCUAAAGUCUGAAACAAGACCCCCCCCCCCCCACUCACGGUCACUCAUCUGCGUGUCAAUUUUUCGUACAGGGUGGUUCGGAGACUAUGCAAUGUGGCCUGAAUUUUAUUUUUUUUACAAUUACUAUUAAAUUGUAAGGAGGUUUUCGCAUAGUGAAAAGUGAUUUAUUCAUCGAGGAACCAAGUUCCAUACGCUGUUUGUGAAACCGUAAAAUUUUCCUCAUUUUUGGCCCAACUUUGCCCCAUAGCUCCGCCGGUAUCCAAGAUAUCGCCAAACUUUCUUCUGGCCAUGGCUAGAUGGCACUUGUGGCUAGAUUUCGUCCAUGCACCACUAAUCGCUACCAUGUCUGUGGCCGGAGCUAUUCGCGAAAGCUCCAACGGAUCGCCAAUCUUUGACCUGUGGUCGAUAGAUGGCACCAAUUGCUACAUUUUCUUCUUCGACGGCCAUGCCCUCAGGUGUCUGUGUCUCGAAACAUAAUUAAAAAACACGCAACCGAUUUCGAACCACCCUGCACGAAAAAAAGUCACUCAAAUGAGUGCCCGUG